RNAcentral lists this ribosomal RNA (433 nucleotides) under uncultured bacterium. Its description in RNAcentral is "partial 16S ribosomal RNA". It matches the Rfam family "Bacterial small subunit ribosomal RNA", at positions 29 to 507 of the family's 1533-position model. The record is from RNAcentral.
AGCGAACGCUAGCGGCAGGCCUAACACAUGCAAGUCGAACGAACUCUUCGGAGUUAGUGGCGGACGGGUGAGUAACACGGGGGAAAGUGCCUUUUGGUUUGGCAUAACGCAGGGAAACUUGUGCUAAUACCGAAUGUGCUCUCCGGGGGAAAGGUUUAUCGCCAUUGGAGCUGCCCGCGUCUGAUCAGCUGGUUGGUGGGGUAACGGCUCACCACGGCGACGAUCAGUAGCUGGUCUGAGAGGAUGGCCAGCCACACUGGGACUGAGACACGGCCCAGACUCCUACGGGAGGCAGCAGUGGGGGAUCUUGCGCAGUGGGCGAAAGCCUGACGCAGCCAUGCCGCGUGAAUGAUGAAGGUCUUAAGAUUGUAAAAUUCUUUCACCGGGGACGAUAAUGACGGUACCCGGAGAAGAAGCCCCGGCUAACUUCGUG